GAUCAGACGUAUCUAAUUUAAGUUAAUAGACGUAUCUAAUUUAAUCUUUUGAAUCGUUUGCAUACUGUUUGUUUUAGUUUUGCUUUUAGAAAAGGUUUGGCUGUUUUUGGGCGUAUUUUGUCAUGGUGUCUGCUGCUAUAACUUUUUUUUUAAUGAGUUAUAACAUAUUCUAACGUUAUUACCUACAUAUAAAGGCACAAAUAAAAUUA
Non-coding RNA from Hydra vulgaris (swiftwater hydra), 209 nucleotides. The record is from RefSeq and is a predicted model, not a curated record. NCBI's taxonomy places the organism in Eukaryota, Metazoa, Cnidaria, Hydrozoa, Anthoathecata, Hydridae.